CUUCGUUCUUCCUUCAAUAUUGAGAAUGGUAUAAAAUACAUUAUCAAAUAUGUUCUUUCUAAUGUGCAUGACAUCAAGAUUGUGUCGAAGAGGAAGCAUUUUCCAAUAUGGAAGAUCAAACAACUUGCUCUUUUUUCUCCAAUUUUCGAUACUUGUUCGCACCCCUACUUGGGUGGCCAGACCCUUACCAAAUAUAACAUCAUGUGGGU
Molecule: long non-coding RNA, 209 nt
Filed under: Elaeis guineensis (African oil palm)
Lineage: Eukaryota; Viridiplantae; Streptophyta; Magnoliopsida; Arecales; Arecaceae
Description: long non-coding RNA (EGUI_LNC067272)
Source: RNAcentral